RNAcentral lists this ribosomal RNA (306 nucleotides) under Triticum aestivum (bread wheat). RNAcentral's name for it is "partial small subunit ribosomal RNA". The record is from RNAcentral. Lineage: Eukaryota; Viridiplantae; Streptophyta; Magnoliopsida; Poales; Poaceae.
AUGAGAUUUGCACUUGCCUCUGAUUUUGGAUGCUUUGUUCUUUUGAGUUUUCUGUAUCAGCAGUACUUUGUGUCGGAGGCUUGGCGUGCUCUCCACUGCUCAGAUGCCUUUAGUCGGCGGUCAAUGGAGCGGGUCAUGUCCACUGGAAAAGGCUACGCGCGUGAGCAAUUGAGCAUGUUGGAUCUCUAUUGCUCCUACCUUGCCACUCAUGGAUCAUGUUCACAUCGUUUCUUACACAUUCUUGUAUCAGAGUUAGAUUUUUUGUUAGGCCAACUCCAACGAACGUCCGUUUUGUCCAGAUUAUGA